Molecule: long non-coding RNA, 422 nt
Organism: Gadus chalcogrammus (walleye pollock)
Lineage: Eukaryota; Metazoa; Chordata; Actinopteri; Gadiformes; Gadidae
Exons: 3
Source: RefSeq, a predicted model, not a curated record
ACCUACAAGUUGUUUUCAUUCAUACGUUGCGUUGGGCCGUGAAGGACGUAGCUUUCAAAUCAAUUUUGAACUUGAAGUCAUCUCUCCUUGUGUGCGCUUCUGAUUAUCGGCUGAAUGGCUCUCCUCUCCCGCCACGAGAACAGAGUUUCUGAGUCCACCGUCCCGGAGCGACCGGACCCGGAGGAGGACCUGCUCGUCGCUGCACGGCUCCUACAACUAUGGAGGAGGAAGAGCAUGGGUCGGCCGCCUAAUUUUUAGCUGAUUCGACCGGAGCGGAUCGACGCGUGGACGUCUGCGACUGCGUACACACACACUUCUCCGGUGGCUUCGCCAGAAAAAUCAAUGUAUGUGUCAACUGACCUCCAUGUAAUGAUGAUCACAGACAAUAAAAUAAACCGUUAAAAAAAUUAAUAUUCCCAAGU